GAUUCGAACCGUCGACCUUCCGAUUGGCAAGCCCAAGGCUCAGUGGUUUGCACCACAGCGCCACCCGCGUCCCUUUAGCGCCACCUGUCAUAUUAAGUUAUGCCAAUUUUUUUACUCGUGCCCUGAUCUACAGUAAUUUCCAGAAAAGUUCAGAUUGGCACACUCCUACGUGCAAAGUCUAGGGCGGUCCCCACAGCUCUUGGCAUGUUGACAUCCAUCUGUCUCAGGAGACAGCACCUGCUGUGGCUAUAGAGACUGAUACAGGAGAGACAUGUUUUGUUGCAGCUGGGGCAGAUGAACGGCUGUACUGCUUCAGAUGCACCAUGGAGUUUCUUCUAUCUGUGCUCCUCCCAGCAGUCAUUCCCCUUCUGGUCACCGCUGUGGAUACACAACCUGACUGUCAGUGCUGCCUGUGUUGUAACAGCACCGGCAGUUUGCAUUCUGUACAACUUAAACCAUAAUAAUGCUCCCCGCAUCCUUGAUAGGUGUUCACAUCUCUCCCCUCCUCCACUCGCCAUGUUGUCCUUCAUGCUAGGAAAUGAGUAGUAUGUUUAGUUAGCUCAAGUCAGCUCCCCUGCAGGCCAGUUUAUGCUGCAUAAGGAAGGCCUAUGUGGGCUGUGCUUUAAGAAGGGAAUGUUUAAAGUUGAAUAGCAGCCUGAGGGCAGAAGAAGCUGCCUGUGAAUUUUCCCCCUGCUCAUUUUCUAACUAAGAUUACAUGUCAUUCCCCACAAGCUCGGGCCAAGAGGGACACUUGUUUCCAUGAGUCACACACAGCAAAUGUGGGUCGUUUGUGAAGAGAAGCCUGAUGAAAGUGAAGCUUUGCACUACAGGCAGCAACAAGGGAGCUCCUUUAACACUUCUGGGAGGACCUGUUAAUAGGAGGAAGAUGGCCUCUCCACCCUGCAACUGCCAGUGUAGGGCUUCUGAGAACCAUUUUGCCUUGAAGGGAAAGAGAGGAAGAUGGGAAUGACAGCACAGAGAGCUGCCCAUUACCUACUUGCAAAGGUUCCAGGAAUAGCCAACAUGGUGAACUCCAGAUAGUAAACAUGAGAACAACACUGGAACAGGCCAAAGGCGGGAAGAACAGGGCCAUCGCGGCUAGUAUCUGCUGAUAACUUUAUCCUAUUAAUUUAUCUAAUCCUCUCUUAAAGCCAUCCAAGUCGCUGGCCAUCAUUACCUCCUGUGGGAGAAUGGUCAGUGGUCAGGAGUAAUGGGAGCUGAAGUCAAACAACACCAACAUCUGGAAGGCGCCAUCUGGCCACCAUUGCCCUAUGGCAACAAACCACCUGUACGUGACCAUAUAUUUAAUUAUGCAAAAGACAGUCCUCCCAGGAAAAGGGAAUCUAGCAGGCUAAGCUUAACCUAUUUAGCAGCCUCUUUUCACAACCAGAGUUACAGGGUUGCCAGAAUCCUUGAGACGCUAUGCUAUACCCACCCUCUCAGCUGGGAUUUCCAGGUCAAGAGUCUGAUGUGGCUACUCUGAUGAGCUCUUGAAAUAAUGCAGUUUACUCAUUACCUUUCAAAAGCUUGGGUGUCUGUUUUCUACAAACACACUGCUGGCUUGUUGCUUUAUCUGUCACAUUCAUCACACAAUCCCCAUUCAUAUUUCAUGAUUUAUUACCCUACACAGAAGUGCUUUCUGUGUAUGAAACACAGCAUGUGAAGCCAUCUUCAGUUGAAAGUCUGGUCUUGUUUGAACAGAGGUUUUCCUAAGCCCCUAAUAACAUCUUUCCUUACUUUUACUCUUAGUAGAUCUGACAGAUAUUACUUAUAAUUUAUAUUUCCUAAUCUAACAUAUGGUGACACUUUGCUUCCCAAUAGCCGAUUGACAUUUUUUAAUGUUUCUCUUGGACUGUUGCCUAAGUACAUUUGCAAAUAGUUUAGUGCUCAGCUUAAAAUGAAUUCACUCCCAGAAUUCCAUUUGCAAUCUAUUAUUUAUGGCUUACAAAUGUUAAGAUCAAAAAGAAAAUAAUCAAAUGUAUAUUAUAUUGUGGCAUAUGGUCCACUGGGAUUACAAAAUUCUAGAAACUUUAAUGCUAAAUUUGUGUAAAAGGGAGAAUUCCUCCCCUCUUCCCCAAGAUUCCAGAGCUUGAUGCAUUUCCUUAAAGGGGCGGGGGACAUGAAUUUGCUUAUUUUCGUCCACUAGUAAGAAAAAGUAUACUUGACUGCCCUACAUUUAUUUUAUAAAUUCAGAGAAAAUCAGAGCAAAUGCUGUCACCAGCACUGGACAUACCUAUGGAUCAAAUGUAGCCAUCCACUAGCUCUCUUACUAACUGCAUUAUGAAAGAUUCAAAGAGGAGUGUGUAAAUAGCUCUGCAUGAUAUUUAAGGAAAAUUAUGAAUGCAGAGAU
Podarcis muralis (Common wall lizard) is the source of this 2350-nucleotide non-coding RNA. The record is from RefSeq and is a predicted model, not a curated record. Lineage: Eukaryota; Metazoa; Chordata; Lepidosauria; Squamata; Lacertidae.